RNAcentral lists this ribosomal RNA (1353 nucleotides) under Marinobacter adhaerens. Its description in RNAcentral is "bacterial SSU rRNA". It matches the Rfam family "Bacterial small subunit ribosomal RNA", at positions 76 to 1428 of the family's 1533-position model. The record is from RNAcentral. Lineage: Bacteria; Pseudomonadati; Pseudomonadota; Gammaproteobacteria; Pseudomonadales; Marinobacteraceae.
UCACUUGUGGGGGGAUUAGUGGCGAACGGGUGAGUAACACGUGAGUAACCUGCCCUUAACUCUGGGAUAAGCCUGGGAAACUGGGUCUAAUACCGGAUAUGACUCCUCAUCGCAUGGUGGGGGGUGGAAAGCUUUAUUGUGGUUUUGGAUGGACUCGCGGCCUAUCAGCUUGUUGGUGAGGUAAUGGCUCACCAAGGCGACUUGACGCGGUAGACCGGCCUAGAGAGGGUGACCGGCCACACUGGGACUGAGACACGGCCCAGACUCCUACGGGAGGCAGCAGUGGGGAAUAUUGCACAAUGGGCGAAAGCCUGAUGCAGCGACGCCGCGUGAGGGAUGACGGCCUUCGGGUUGUAAACCUCUUUCAGUAGGGAAGAAGCGAAAGUGACGGUACCUGCAGAAGAAGCGCCGGCUAACUACGUGCCAGCAGCCGCGGUAAUACGUAGGGCGCAAGCGUUAUCCGGAAUUAUUGGGCGUAAAGAGCUCGUAGGCGGUUUGUCGCGUCUGCCGUGAAAGUCCCGGGGCUCAACUCCGGGAUCUGCGGUGGGUACGGGCAGACUAGAGUGAUGUAGGGGAGACUGGAAUUCCUGGUGUAGCGGUGAAAUGCGCAGAUAUCAGGAGGAACACCGAUGGCGAAGGCAGGUCUCUGGGCAUUAACUGACGCUGAGGAGCGAAAGCAUGGGGAGCGAACAGGAUUAGAUACCCUGGUAGUCCAUGCCGUAAACGUUGGGCACUAGGUGUGGGGGACAUUCCACGUUUUCCGCGCCGUAGCUAACGCAUUAAGUGCCCCGCCUGGGGAGUACGGCCGCAAGGCUAAAACUCAAAGGAAUUUGACGGGGGCCCGCACAAGCGGCGGAGCAUGCGGAUUAAUUCGAUGCAACGCGAAGAACCUUACCAAGGCUUGACAUGAACCGGUAAUACCUGGAAACAGGUGCCCCCGCUUGCGGUCGGUUUACAGGUGGUGCAUGGUUGUCGUCAGCUCGUGUCGUGAGAUGUUGGGUUAAGUCCCGCAACGAGCGCAACCCUCGUUCUAUGUUGCCAGCGCGUUAUGGCGGGGACUCAUAGGAGACUGGCCGGGGUCAACUCGGAGGAAGGUGGGGACGAGCGUCAAAUCAUCAUGCCCCUUAUGUCUUGGGCUUCACGCAUGCUACAAUGGCCGGUACACAAGGGUUGCGAUACUGUGAGGUGGAGCUAAUCCCAAAAAGCCGGUCUCAGUUCGGAUUGGGGUCUGCAACUCGACCCCAUGAAGUCGGAGUCGCUAGUAAUCGCAGAUCAGCAACGCUGCGGUGAAUACGUUCCCGGGCCUUGUACACACCGCCCGUCAAGUCACGAAAGUUGGUAACACCCGAAGCC